AGUGAACGCUGGCGGUAGGCCUAACACAUGCAAGUCGAACGGCAGCACAGUAAGAGCUUGCUCUUACGGGUGGCGAGUGGCGGACGGGUGAGGAAUACAUCGGAAUCUACUUUUUCGUGGGGGAUAACGUAGGGAAACUUACGCUAAUACCGCAUACGACCUACGGGUGAAAGCAGGGGAUCUUCGGACCUUGCGCGAUUGAAUGAGCCGAUGUCGGAUUAGCUAGUUGGCGGGGUAAAGGCCCACCAAGGCGACGAUCCGUAGCUGGUCUGAGAGGAUGAUAGGCGACCCUGGAACUGAGACACGGUCCAGACUCCUACGGGAGGCAGCAGUGGGGAAUAUUGGACAAUGGGCGCAAGCCUGAUCCAGCCAUACCGCGUGGGUGAAGAAGGCCUUCGGGUUGUAAAGCCCUUUUGUUGGGAGAGAAAAGCAGCAGGUUAAUACCCCGCUGUUCUGACGGUACCCAAAGAAUAAGCACCGGCUAACUUCGUG
This 492-nucleotide ribosomal RNA is filed under the name uncultured bacterium. RNAcentral describes it as "partial 16S ribosomal RNA". It matches the Rfam family "Bacterial small subunit ribosomal RNA", at positions 29 to 507 of the family's 1533-position model. The record is from RNAcentral.